RNAcentral lists this long non-coding RNA (2050 nucleotides) under Homo sapiens (human). RNAcentral describes it as "non-protein coding lnc-CLN8-3:1". Lineage: Eukaryota; Metazoa; Chordata; Mammalia; Primates; Hominidae. The record is from RNAcentral.
AAAGUCAAGUUAAACUCCAGCAGAAACAGAUGAGUUUCCUGAUGGUUGUGCACAGGCUUCGGACCCAAGGCAAGGUCUUCCUGUCUCGAGGCCUUCUGCCAUCAUCCUGCCUCCCCAGACAUACCCCAGUGAUAUCGUUUGGAUGUUUGACACCCCCAAAACCUCAGGCUGACAUUGGAUCGCCAGUGUUGGUGCCGGCCUAGUGGGAGGUGUCUGGUCACUGGUGUGGUGGGAGGCGUCUGGGUCACUGGUGUGAUGGGAGGUGUCUGGGUCACUGGUGUGGUGGGAGGUGUCUGGUCAUUGUGGUAGGAGGUGUCUGGUCACCGGUGUGGUGGGAGGUGUCUGGUCACCGGUGUGGUGGGAGGUGUGUGGUCACUGGUGUGGUGGGAGGUGUGUGGUCACUGGUGUGGUGGGAGGUGUCUGGUCAUUGUUGUGGUGGGAGGUGUCUGGUCACUGGUGUGGCCCCUACAUAAAUGUCUUGGUGCCAUCCUCACUCUAUUUGUCUCAUUUCAUUAGCUCUCGCGAGAUCUGAUUGUUAAAAAGAGCCUGGCAGCUCCUUUCCUCUCUCUCUGUCCCUCUUUAUGGCUUUUUUCCUCUUGGCAUGUGAUGCCUGCUCCGCUUCCCAUUCCGCCAUGACGCCACGAGCAGAAUGAUUUCUCACAGCGGGGUUUCACCAAUGUUGGGAAGGCUGGUCUCGAUCUCCUGACCUCAGGUGAUCCGCCCCCCUCAACCUCCCAAAGUGCUAGGAUUACAGGCAUGAGCCACUGCGCCCGGCCAAUUUCUAAUAUUUCGGAGGCCUCACCAGUCGCAGAUGCUGGCACCAUGCUCCCUGUGAAGGCUGCAGAGAGGUGAGCCAAACACACCUCUUUUCUUUAUAAAUUACUCAGCUUCAGGUAGUCCUUGAUAGCAAAACAAAUGGACUAAGACACUCAUCCUAACUCAGACCCCAGCUUCCCCAUGAAGCUGUCAGCAAGACAGCAGCUAUGCUCCCCUCCUCCCUCCAGAGUCUGAUGGCCUCAGUCCCAGCACGUAGUUCAACCUCCAACUUGACUCUGCCUACCUCAUGCAAAUGAGCCUAUCUCUUUAUUCUUCAGGAUCCAAAAUGGCAACUCCCUGAAGCCAGAGAACCCAUCAGAACUUAAAAGUAGACAAUUUUUUUAGAGCAGUUUUUGGCUCACAGUAAAAUGCACAGAAGGUACAGACACCUGCCAUUCGCUGCCUGUCCCCUCUCCCCUGCACGCAUAGCCACCCCCCACCAGCAAGUGUGGUGCAUUUGUUACCAUUGGUGAACCCACAUGGACACGUCUUCAUUGCCUGGAGUCCGUGGUUUACACGAGGGCUCGCUCUAGGUGUUGUUCAUCCUCUGGGUCUGCACAGAUGUACACUGACUCUUAUCCACCAUGACAGUGCCAUGCAGAGUAGCUUCACUGCCCUGAAGAUCCUCUGUGCAGUGUAACUUCAUCACCGUUAGGAAGAAAACAAUCUCUUUUAACAUCACGUGUGAAUAAGACAGAUGAUGUCCCAGCCCACCAUGGGGCUUCCCAUUCUUGUGAGGUGGGAAGGGCAGGACAGAAAAUAAACAGUCCACAAAGAGAUAAAAAUAAUUAUCAUGUCAUUUUUAUGACAUGAUAGAUCAUUCUAUCAUGAAUGUUUAAGAUCAUUCAAUGAGUGAAAUGCAAGGACAUGAGCGAGUAAGAGAGGGAGGCAGGCCCGACAGGUAGUGGCGUCCCAGGUGGUAGCUCCUCCUCGGAGCCCAGCCAGAGUUGAGACCUGAAGGAUGAGGAGGACUUGGUCCUUGGACAAUAGAAGAAAUAAAGACCCAGGUAGAGAGGCAAAAGCAAAUGUGAAGGCCCAGAAGCUUGAAAAGGCUGAGCCUGUCCUGGGAGUUAUCAGAGGCACAGUCUGAUCAGAGUGGAGUCAAUAAGGAGUGGUGGUGAGACCCACGUUGGGUAAGGACAGAGACGUCCCAUGCUUGACUCCUUGGACAUGUGACCUCAGCUUCCUUAGCUGUAAAACGUGACAGGUGGCCAGGCGCGUUGGCUCAUGCCUG